CAGUAGCCACGGUAAAACGGAGGGUGCAAGCGUUAUCCGGAUUUAUUGGGUUUAAAGGGUCCGUAGGCGGAUCUGUAAGUCAGUGGUGAAAUCUCACAGCUUAACUGUGAAACUGCCAUUGAUACUGCAGGUCUUGAGUAAAUUUGAAGUGGCUGGAAUAAGUAGUGUAGCGGUGAAAUGCAUAGAUAUUACUUAGAACACCAAUUGCGAAGGCAGGUCACUAAGAUUUAACUGACGCUGAUGGACGAAAGCGUGGGGAGCGAACAGGAUUAGAGACCCCCGUAGUCCCUGUCUCUUAUAC
Molecule: ribosomal RNA, 301 nt
Filed under: uncultured bacterium
Lineage: Bacteria
Description: partial 16S ribosomal RNA
Rfam family: Bacterial small subunit ribosomal RNA
Source: RNAcentral